GGCGUGAUCGAUCAACUCAGGCUCAGGCAUCUUGAGAGCCUCAGGCAUCCAAUUCAAGAACUUCAAGUACGCCCUGAAGUCCAAGUUCACAAAGCGCUGCACAAAGGCGCCACCGCGAGAAGGGCUGCUCCUCAGCCCCUUGAGGUACCAUUUGGAGAAGUAGACUCUGUCGUUAAAGGGCUGGAGCCUCAGAACCGCAAAGAUUAUGAAGAAAAUGAAUGCACUGAGGAUGUUAAUCCCAGCUGAUACACCAAUAUCCGAAAGUGUUGCCAUUUAUUAUAUUGCCCAAGGACUUAACCUGUAAACAAUACAAAGAAGCAGCAAACUUGUUAUUGCCAAAGUUAAAAGAUUGAAACUUUAUGAUAAAGAACGUUCAUUUUCAAAGCUUAACCAAAUCAAAAAAUCUUGGGGCUAACUUCAGAUCUGAAUCUAAGGGGAAAUGCUAAUUAUAAACCCAGAAAGGACAAGUCUUUUGGAGCAAACCUCACAACAAAGUUCCAAAAACAGUUCGAAUCUUUCUAGAGAACCUUUGAAAGGGACAAUGCACAACAGCUCAGAGAAUCAAAAAAAAGGUUUUCUUUUUCGUUAGUUAUCCCUCAAGUUUACUCCACAGAAGCAAUGAGAUCCAGAGACAAGAGUAAAUACAAAAGAAAGAAGGAAGAAGAGAGAGAGGGAGAGAGAAACCCAAGAGAAGAGGAGUGGAAUAAGACAGUGUUUCAUCCAAAGCUAAGAACUUUCUUUUUUCUCUCUACCCUCUUCAGUGAGUUACUCACACGCAAACACAAACACACAAACCAAACCCUCUGAAAAAAGUAUAUAGAGAAGAUUUAUAAAGUUAAAGCAAACAAAAAUAGAAUCGUUUUUUUUCAGGAAAUGUCUAUUAUAUUUUUAUAAUACUGUUUCGAGACAAUGCAGUUACGUAGGGGUAAAAGUAAGGGAGUGAGAGAUGAAAGAGAUCGUUACAGUCGCGUGGAAGAAGAAGAAGAAGAAGAGGAAGACGGCCAGGGUUUUUGUCGUGAUGCUCCACUGGCUUACCAAAAGUAUCCAUAUAAAAUAUUUUUCAUAAUUUUUUAUAUUCUAUAGUACCGUUGGAUUAUUUAGUAUUGUGAAAGGCUACUACGUUCGUUUCACCUAAUUAACUAAAAACAAAUUAAGAGACGGUCAAUUAAACAAUUUCUAAAGUUGUUUUCCGAAUCUUCCUUUGUUUUUUAGCUUUGCUUAAACAAAGUGUGAGAUGAUCUUUGACGCAACCGACAACAUGUGUAUUUGUAUUGUUUAUUUGAUCAGGCUGCUAAUUGUUGAACGUUACAUAUAUGUUUAGGUAGAAAAAUGUCAUCCAUUUACCUUUGAAGUUACUAUUUCCCUUUUUUUUUAUAUAAAUAAUAUUUCCAUCUCAUGUAGAAUUGAUAAAAUGAAUAGCUUAGUUAGUGGGUUGGAAUUGGCCUUUAAAGGAUCAAAAUAGAUGCUAUGUCGUUUGGAAUCCAAAAACAAAUGCUGUAAAACCCUAUCAAUACACCAUCUUUGGAUUCCAAACGAUUGAGCAUUUAUUUUGAACUUUAAGAUUCCAUCCAAACCACUAACUAAACUAUUCAUUUUGACCUUAAGACACCAUGAUGCAUCGACUUGGCAAGUCAUAAUAUAUCGGAGGUAUAAAAGAAGAGCUUCAUCAACACCAAGAACUGGCGUUUAUCUCGACAUCAUCCUUUCUUAUGUUGCCCUUUCUUUGAGAUUAUCUAGUUGAAAUGUGUGAACCGGUGAAAUAUAUUUUCACUGAAUAAUUAUCGUUCAUUACUUUUUAAAUGUAUAAAAUGAUCCAAAAGAACUUGUUGAAUUAUGGUUUCAGGAUACUAUCUCUUUUCUCUUCCAAAAUAUGAACUUUGUAUUCUAGUAUAUGGAUACACUUUUCUUACUGUUUUAGGAGUCUUUUCUAUUAUUUGUGUUAAUCACUAACCUAUAAGAAAUUAUAAGAAUUUCUUAUAGUUAAAGCUUUUAAACCCGAUAUUAACAUGAAACUAAAUAUUAAAAUUCGAAUGAUUUAUGUUCUCUCAUUCCAGCUUCCUCUAUGAAUAAAUCUACUUCACAUUGUAUAGUGAUUGAUUUAAAUCCACUUUGCACAUUGUUGAUCAAAAACAGCAUUUUGUUCACUAAACAAUACUACAAGUGUUAUUAACUUAUAUUGUUGUGUAAAUAGUUUCACCAAAUCUGCUAGCUUGUUUGCAUUGCAUACAACCUACAUAUUGUUUCCACAAAAGGUAAGAAGAACCCAUCAAGGUACUUAACAGAUUCAAAUUACAAACUUCUGAGAGAUUUACCUGAUUAGUCAGGUAGUGAUCAGGGUGAUUGACAAGGAAGAAAUGCUCCACAAGUUCACUAACAGACUCAUCUGCAUCCGGAGGUACAUUUCUGACAAGAACCUAUCAUAAAUCUCAACAUAUUAGAUUCCAACUUUGUUCGGUUUUUCGAAAUUUAAACCAAGGGGGGAAGAGAAAAGAGUGUUUACAGUGAACUGGUCAGGUCGGCGAGCUUCUGAUGCAACAAACUGAAGCCUCAUGUUAGCAACCGUCUCAUAUUCUUUCAUCAACACAUAACAAGUCCAGAUGGUAAAUGCAUAUGCCAUCACUAUAUGUGUCCAAAACCUGGUAAAAAAAAAAAAACAACAAAAAAGUCAAGAGACAAUGCAGCUCAAAACCCAACCUUUAUAAACAGAUGGUAAAGGUCUGAACCCACCUCAUUGAAUACUCUGGGAUAUUCGAAACAGACAGUUUAUCAAUAUCACUCGACGUUACAUUCCUUAGCUGCCUAGCCAACUCCAACGUGUUGUUCGUCCAGUUAACCGGCACAAGAACAGCCCAAGCAAGCGCUGCUAUUGGAACAAAGAUCUUAAGCCUGCACACACAAAUCGACAACACAACAGAAUCAAGAAGAGAAGGAGAAACUAAGUACUAAAACCAACAAAGUUCAAGACUUUUUACCCUAGCCAGUAAAUCCUGAGAUACACAACAGAAUCCAAACCGGCGUGAUCGAUCAACUCAGGCUCAGGCAUCUUGAGAGCCUCAGGCAUCCAAUUCAAGAACUUCAAGUACGCCCUGAAGUCCAAGUUCACAAAGCGCUGCACAAAGGCGCCACCGCGAGAAGGGCUGCUCCUCAGCCCCUUGAGGUACCAUUUGGAGAAGUAGACUCUGUCGUUAAAGGGCUGGAGCCUCAGAACCGCAAAGAUUAUGAAGAAAAUGAAUGCACUGAGGAUGUUAAUCCCAGCUGAUACACCAAUAUCCGAAAGUGUUGCCAUUUAUUAUAUUGCCCAA
Molecule: long non-coding RNA, 3302 nt
Filed under: Brassica napus (rape)
Lineage: Eukaryota; Viridiplantae; Streptophyta; Magnoliopsida; Brassicales; Brassicaceae
Description: long non-coding RNA (BNAP_LNC009419)
Source: RNAcentral